This 490-nucleotide ribosomal RNA is filed under the name uncultured bacterium. RNAcentral's name for it is "partial 16S ribosomal RNA". It matches the Rfam family "Bacterial small subunit ribosomal RNA", at positions 30 to 507 of the family's 1533-position model. The record is from RNAcentral.
AUUGAACGCUGGCGGCAUGCUUUACACAUGCAAGUCGGACGGCAGCACAGAGAAGCUUGCUUCUUGGGUGGCGAGUGGCGAACGGGUGAGUAACAUAUCGGAACGUACCGAGCAGUGGGGGAUAACUAAUCGAAAGAUUAGCUAAUACCGCAUAUCUUCUGAGGAAGAAAGCAGGGGACCAUUUGGCCUUGCGCUGUUUGAGCGGCCGAUAUCUGAUUAGCUAGUUGGUGGGGUAAAGGCCUACCAAGGCGACGAUCAGUAGCGGGUCUGAGAGGAUGAUCCGCCACCCUGGGACUGAGACACGGCCCAGACUCCUACGGGAGGCAGCAGUGGGGAAUUUUGGACAAUGGGCGCAAGCCUGAUCCAGCCAUGCCGCGUGUCUGAAGAAGGCCUUCGGGUUGUAAAGGACUUUUGUCAGGGAAGAAAAGGGCGGGGUUAAUACCCCUGUCUGAUGACGGUACCUGAAGAAUAAGCACCGGCUAACUACGUG